This is a long non-coding RNA of Oncorhynchus gorbuscha (pink salmon), 1090 nucleotides long. RefSeq lists it as uncharacterized. Lineage: Eukaryota; Metazoa; Chordata; Actinopteri; Salmoniformes; Salmonidae. The transcript has 4 exons. The record is from RefSeq and is a predicted model, not a curated record.
UUGCAUUAUGGGCCCGAGAAGUACGGAAAUAGUGUCCACUGUGUGUUUUCUGUUGUAAUUUAGCGAAUGUAGUAUGCCAACCGGGAACUUUUGACAUACUAACCCUAUCCAUUCUUUGAAAAAUAACCAUAAUACAUACUCAAAUUACGUUACAAAUAGUACGGGUAUUCGAACGCUUUCUAAAAAGAAGGAAAGCCAACAUAGUUGUAAAGUUAAUUGAAGCUGGAUCGACUGGAGUUGGUUAGCGAGAUAGGCAGUUAACCGUGGGCUAUUCUAAACUGAAAAACAACAAUACAGCAAACACGGAACUGUUCAUUUGUGUCUGAAGAAUCGUUUAGAUGGUGUGUUGAUGGUUCAAGUUUUUUUCCCUAAAUAUUUUGGGCUUUUGUCUCGACUGACGAAUAUCGAUUGCCUUGAUUAGCUGCCAUUUGCUUAUUGGCUGUGGUUUUCAUCAACUUUUUUCACAGCAUCAACGAACGCCAAGUUAACACAAUUAGGCAGUUAAACUACAGCAUGUCAGGAUCUGAGUGGAUUUGUGGUGAUGGCAGAGCGUCGUGUGGAGUGUGCAUGGAAGAGACAGCUGAAGCAGAGGGACCGUGUGCAGCGGCAGGCCUUCGAGGAGAUCAUCCACCAAUGUUAGUGCCCAUACCAUGUCUCCGUGUUCAAGAUGCUGUUUAUUGACUGGUUUUUGUUUCUGCUGCCUGUGCAGUUUCCCAGAAAGUGUUUGAAGGACAUAUUUGUGGUGUUAUCAGAGAACCAUCUCCUGGAGAAGUCCAAUCUACAGGCUGUCCUUUCAGAGAGAUACCAGUCGGAUAAAUAUGACUUUCAGAACAGACAUGAUGGCAUGUAGGCCAGAAAUACCUUGCUUGUGAGAAAUUCUAAACGGAAUCCUUGGGACGACUGUCACCCUGUUGAAGUUGAAACUGUUAAGCCUGGGGAUGGACUCAGCGACACCUUACAGCAGGAGAUGGCCCAGAUGCGAGUCAGGCACCAGGAGGUGCUGACAGAGCUUCAUGAGAAACGGGGAGAGAAUAUCAGUCUGUCCCUGAUGUUUUUCCUGGAGAGAAGUGGCUUCUCUGCUGCCCUCCUU